UACGUAUGGUGCAAGCGUUAUCCGGAUUUACUGGGCGUAAAGGGAGCGCAGGCGGCGCGCCAAGUCUGAUGUGAAACCCCGGGGCUCAACCCCGGGCAUGCAUUGGAAACUGGCGGGCUGGAGUGCCGGAGAGGUAAGCGGAAUUCCUAGUGUAGCGGUGAAAUGCGUAGAUAUUAGGAGGAACCCCAGUGGCGAAGGCGGCUUACUGGACGGCAACUGACGCUGAGGCUCGAAAGCGUGGGGAGCAAACAGG
This 253-nucleotide ribosomal RNA is filed under the name uncultured bacterium. RNAcentral describes it as "partial 16S ribosomal RNA". It matches the Rfam family "Bacterial small subunit ribosomal RNA", at positions 524 to 776 of the family's 1533-position model. The record is from RNAcentral.